This is a long non-coding RNA of Panicum virgatum (switchgrass), 1167 nucleotides long. RefSeq lists it as uncharacterized. Lineage: Eukaryota; Viridiplantae; Streptophyta; Magnoliopsida; Poales; Poaceae. The transcript has 2 exons. The record is from RefSeq and is a predicted model, not a curated record.
UCUCUCCCGAUGCCCUUCGCUUUAACUUCCCUUUCCCUCCGUUGCUCCUCUGCAGAUCGCCCCCUCCCCUCUCCUUGACCGAUGCCCUUCCCUCCCCAAUCCCCACCACCGCCACCCACGCCCCCGCAGCUCGCACUGCUCCCUGACGGCCGGCGCAUGGAGGAAGGCGGGGCGAGCUCCGGGCCUCGGCCCCCUAAGCGUCCAUCCAGCGGUGGUGGCAGUGGCGGUGGCGGUGGCGGUGGCACCUCCAAGCCUCCCUCGUCUUCCCCUCCCCGAUGCCACAGUGGCGGCUGGCGCCAGCGAUAGGGGGUUCGCCGGCGCAAGAUCCAGCCGUGGUGGGUCAAUGCAUGGCCGCUGCAGACCCAGAUCCAUGGUCGCCGAGCCACGGGCGCAGCAACGGCACCUCCAUGGCCGUCGGUGGGGACAUCAUCGACCUCAGAUCCACGUGCUAAUGUGGUGAACCAACGCCUGUACUGCAAGCCGACGACGAGCAGGCGGCUGGGACAACAUCGCUGCGAAUGCCCCUCACUCUCCUCUGCCUCAUUUGCCUCUCGACGGCAGCCAUGCCCAGCACCCGCUACGCCUCCUCCGCCAAGCUGGUCCGUGCCUCCCCCAUCAAAGUCAAACCCAGGUUGAGUUCAGUACUUAAUACCCUGUAAUUUGUUCACCUUGUUGUACCUAAAUGUGGGCGACAUGUUGGGCGCACUGCGGUAGGAGGACCAGGCGCUUAUGGAUCCAGGCAUCCAGCCACGACGCUACUCCCUGUGAGUGCCUCAAUGCCGUCAUGCUGCUUCGAUUUGUGCACUCUGUAUCAAGCUCGUCCCCAACCUUGUGCUCCUCCCGACGCUUGUGCUCCUGUGGCUGCAGCAAGGGUAUUUGAACUUACUGAAUGGAUCAAUCGGACAUGGAUGCCUUCCAUGAUCAACACAAAGAUAGUCUGCAUCAAUAUCAAACAAUGUUUCUUGGAUCCUACAUAAGAUAGAUGUAGUUGUGUUGUUGACCCAACACUAGCUAGCUAGCUACCUAUGAACUAUUUUCAAUUCUGAAAUUGUACUGCAAUUUGGCACUUGGCAUUUUAUUACCUACUCAUUAGCAGAGUUAAUGUUGGAUUCGUUUCAGUUUCAUGGUGAUUUCAAACGUGAUUUUGGCAACUAUUUUCUAUUUCAA